RNAcentral lists this ribosomal RNA (152 nucleotides) under Clostridiaceae bacterium OF09-1. RNAcentral describes it as "partial 23S ribosomal RNA". It matches the Rfam family "Bacterial large subunit ribosomal RNA", at positions 2775 to 2925 of the family's 2925-position model. The record is from RNAcentral. Lineage: Bacteria; Bacillati; Bacillota; Clostridia; Eubacteriales; Clostridiaceae.
AGGCAUCUAAGCGUGAAGCCCCCCUCAAGAUGAGAUAUCCCAUAACGCAAGUUAGUAAGACCCCUUGAAGACGACGAGGUAGAUAGGGCAGAGGUGGAAGUGCAGUAAUGCAUGGAGCUGACUGUUACUAAUAGGUCGAGGGCUUAACCAAG